This 377-nucleotide ribosomal RNA is filed under the name uncultured bacterium. RNAcentral describes it as "bacterial SSU rRNA". It matches the Rfam family "Bacterial small subunit ribosomal RNA", at positions 521 to 895 of the family's 1533-position model. The record is from RNAcentral.
UAAUACGUAGGGCGCAAGCGUUGUCCGGAAUUAUUGGGCGUAAAGAGCUCGUAGGCGGUCUGUCACGUCGGAUGUGAAAGCCCGGGGCUUAACCCCGGGUCUGCAUUCGAUACGGGCAGACUAGAGUGUGGUAGGGGAGAUCGGAAUUCCUGGCGUAGCGGUGAAAUGCGCAGAUAUCAGGAGGAACACCGGUGGCGAAGGCGGAUCUCUGGGCCAUUACUGACGCUGAGGAGCGAAAGCGUGGGGAGCGAACAGGAUUAGAUACCCUGGUAGUCCACGCCGUAAACGGUGGGAACUAGGUGUUGGCGACAUUCCACGUCGUCGGUGCCGCAGCUAACGCAUUAAGUUCCCCGCCUGGGGAGUACGGCCGCAAGGCU